CUCAGGGUGCUGAGGAGGACUGAGCCCUCAGGGCAACCACACAGCAGCUGAGCCUUCUCUCUGCAGGGCCCUCCUGGAUUCGUAGAUGGGGCAGUACCUCGAGGGGAUCCUGGACCCCCAGUGAGUCGAGCUCCUGGGCCAACAGGGUUGACAGAGGGGAUCAGGGCUGUGGUGCCUGUGUGUGCCCAGGGCUGAUCUGCGUCCUCAGGAGCUGGGAUUUUCUCUCUUGCAGGGCCUGCCUGGGGAACCUGGGCCUCGGGGCCCUGCUGGGCCCCCUGGCCUGAAGGGAGAGAAGGUAGGAAGGUGUCAGGGAUGCUCCCCACUGGGGCUGGACCUCACACCACUCUCCAGUGGGGAUUCCCAUCUAAUGGGCAUCUCCAUGCCAUGAGCAUGGCUAUUGCCUUUCCAAAUCUCUAGGGUGAUGGCAUAGAAGGUUUCCCAGGGUCACCUGGCCGCCCCGGGGACCCAGGAGACAGGGGUCCUCGGGGACCACCGGGGGAGCAGGGCAGGAAGGUGAGUGCUGCAGGGACUGGAGGGACACUCUUGCCAUGCCUUUGGCAGGGAGAAAAGGGUUCUGGGUUCUGUGCCAGGACCCAGGAUGUCCCCCAAAGGUACUGCUGCCCCUGACCCUGUGUUUCUCCUAUACCAGGGAGACCGUGGGGCACCGGGCGAGCUGGGAGAGACGGGUGAGAAGGGAGACCGUGGUGUGCCGGGCCCACAGGGUGAGAAGGUAGGUGUGCUGGGGCAACUGUGGCAUGGUGGAGUGAUGCCUGGAACGGCCACCCUGGCUGGGGGUGGCAGGAUGCCCACACGCCUUCCCCUUCCUCCUCUCCUGCAGGGUGAGACGGGAGCCCCAGGGUACCCAGGGCCAUCAGGCAGAGAGGGAGUUCCAGGACCGGCUGGCCCCCGUGGGGAGAAGGGUGAUCCAGGACCACCUGGCAAGCCAGCUCCCAGUGUGUCUGGUGUUGGAGAGAAGGUAACCCUGGCCCAGCUGUGCCCUCCACCCUCUGGGCACGGCUGUGGGCUGGGGAGGGGGAUUGCACAGUUGGGCUCAUCCUGGUCCCAGGCCUGGUUGUCCACAGCUGCAGUGGGGAAAAAAAUGUGUGGUUUGGGGUGCUGA
RNAcentral lists this long non-coding RNA (1120 nucleotides) under Cyanistes caeruleus (blue tit). RNAcentral describes it as "lncRNA (ENSCCEG00000021980.1)". Lineage: Eukaryota; Metazoa; Chordata; Aves; Passeriformes; Paridae. The record is from RNAcentral.